Molecule: ribosomal RNA, 421 nt
Filed under: uncultured bacterium
Lineage: Bacteria
Description: bacterial SSU rRNA
Rfam family: Bacterial small subunit ribosomal RNA
Source: RNAcentral
AGAAGCACCGGCGAACUACGUGCCAGCAGCCGCGGUAAUACGUAGGGUGCGAGCGUUAAUCGGAAUUACUGGGCGUAAAGCGUGCGCAGGCGGCCUGAUAAGUCAGAUGUGAAAUCCCCGAGCUCAACUUGGGAACUGCGUUUGAAACUAUCAAGCUAGAAUAUGUCAGAGGGGGGUAGAAUUCCACGUGUAGCAGUGAAAUGCGUAGAGAUGUGGAGGAAUACCAAUGGCGAAGGCAGCCCCCUGGGAUAAUAUUGACGCUCAUGCACGAAAGCGUGGGGAGCAAACAGGAUUAGAUACCCUGGUAGUCCACGCCCUAAACGAUGUCUACUAGUUGUUGGUGGAGUAAAAUCCAUGAGUAACGCAGCUAACGCGUGAAGUAGACCGCCUGGGGAGUACGGUCGCAAGAUUAAAACUCAAA